AUCGACACGAACGAUUACGGCGUGAAGAUGAAGAGCAUGCUGCGGUUUUUCGAGGAAGGCGACAAGGUCAAGGUGACGCUGCGUUUCCGCGGUCGCGAGAUGGCUCACCAGGACCUCGGCUUCAAGCUGCUGCAGCAGGUCAAGGAAGAAACCGUCGGCGUUGCCAAGGUCGAGAGCGAGCCACGCCUCGAAGGCCGUCAGAUGGUGAUGCUGCUCGCUCCACGCUGAGCAUUGCAUUUUCCAAGGGCUCCGGGCGGCGUUGCCGCGCCGGAGCCUUUUUUGUUUCGGAGGCGCGAUACCUGAAUCCGCC
Molecule: unclassified non-coding RNA, 310 nt
Filed under: Pleomorphomonas diazotrophica
Lineage: Bacteria; Pseudomonadati; Pseudomonadota; Alphaproteobacteria; Hyphomicrobiales; Pleomorphomonadaceae
Description: Long range pseudoknot
Source: RNAcentral